AACGAACGCUGGCGGCAUGCCUAACACAUGCAAGUCGAACGAGACCUUCGGGUCUAGUGGCGCACGGGAGCGUAACGCGUGGGAACCUGCCUUUAGGUUCGGAAUAACUCAGAGAAAUUUGAGCUAAUACCGGAUGAUGUCUUCGGACCAAAGAUUUAUCGCCUUUAGAUGGGCCCGCGUUGGAUUAGCUAGUUGGUGGGGUAAAGGCCUACCAAGGCGACGAUCCAUAGCUGGUCUGAGAGGAUGAUCAGCCACACUGGGACUGAGACACGGCCCAGACUCCUACGGGAGGCAGCAGUGGGGAAUAUUGGACAAUGGGCGAAAGCCUGAUCCAGCAAUGCCGCGUGAGUGAUGAAGGCCUUAGGGUUGUAAAGCUCUUUUACCCGAGAUGAUAAUGACAGUAUCGGGAGAAUAAGCUCCGGCUAACUCCGUG
Molecule: ribosomal RNA, 433 nt
Filed under: uncultured bacterium
Lineage: Bacteria
Description: partial 16S ribosomal RNA
Rfam family: Bacterial small subunit ribosomal RNA
Source: RNAcentral